Long non-coding RNA from Cercocebus atys (sooty mangabey), 1204 nucleotides. Lineage: Eukaryota; Metazoa; Chordata; Mammalia; Primates; Cercopithecidae. The record is from Ensembl.
CAGGAAGCGGUGGAGAAGCUAGAUUCAAGUGGGCAAGACUAAAGGUGGGGUGACUAGUGGGAGGCUGGCUCUUUAGUGCAGGCCAGACAGUAGAGGGCUACAGUGGUGGGGAUGAAGAAUAGGAGAUUUAUAUUUGAAAGACAUUUGAUUUGAUUUGAUUAUAAUCUCAACAUUUAUUUUAGCUUCAGGGGUACAUGUGAAGGUUUUUUACCUGGGUAUAUUGUGUGAUGCUGAGGUUUGGGGUAUGACUGAUCCUGUCACUCAGGUACUGAGCACUGUUCCCAAUAGGUGGUUUUCUAAUCCUUGCCCCAAUCCCUCCGUCCCUCCCAGUUCCAGUGGUCCUCAGUGUCUAGUGUUGCCAUCUUUAUGUCCAUGUGUAUUCAACAUUUAGCUCCCACUUAUAAGUGAGAACAUGUGGUUUUUGGAUUUCUAUUCCUGCGUUAAUCUGCCUAGGAACUAAUGGCCUCCAGCUGCAUCUAUGUUGCUGCAAAACACAUGAUUUCGUUCUGUCUUUAUGGCUGCGCAGUAGUCCAUGGUGUAUAUUUACCACAUUUUCUUUAACCAGUCUGCCUCUGAUGGGCACCUAGGUUGAUUCUGUGUCUGCUAGAGUGAAAAGUUCUGCAAUUAACCUGUGAGUGGAGGUGUCUUUAUGGUAGAACAAUUUAUUUUCUUUUGGAUAUAUACCCAGUAAUGGGAUUGCUGGGUUGAAUGGUGGUUCUACCUUAAGUUCUUUUUUUUUUUCUUUUGGGACAGAAAGUGCCCUAUAAUCCCAGCCACACAGGAGGCUGAGGCAGAAGAAUUGCUUGAACCUGGGAGGCGGAGGUUGCAGUGAGCUGAGAUCACACCAAUGCACUUCAGCCUGGGUGACAGAGUAAGACUCUGUCUCAAAACAGAAGAAGAAGAAAAAGCUUGCCGAUUGCCAAUUGCCGAUUUUGCAGCAGGGUCACACACAGAGCAUGUAACCAAGGUGGAUUCAGCUGCACUGAAGAUCAGUUGCCCCAACCCCGUGAAGUUGACUGUGCCCAAGUUAAGAAUACCUAGUGGAAUGUGGUCCUUGUUACCUGAGGAGCGAAGGUGCGUCUGUUCGGGCUGUCACUCCGUCUGUUUUGCAGCACCUCGCUCAAAUCCACCUAAUGACACUGUGCCUUCCUUCCACACACCAUCUCCUCUGGGACUGCGUUUCCCUUUGUGACCACACUCUUUC